Molecule: ribosomal RNA, 253 nt
Filed under: uncultured bacterium
Lineage: Bacteria
Description: partial 16S ribosomal RNA
Rfam family: Bacterial small subunit ribosomal RNA
Source: RNAcentral
UACGUAGGGGGCCAGCGUUGUCCGGAAUCAUUGGGCGUAAAGCGCGCGUAGGCGGCCAGAUAGGUCCGGUGUGAAAGUCAAAGGCUCAACCUUUGAAUGCCGCUGGAAACUGCCUGGCUUGAGUCCGGAAGGGGCGAGUGGAAUUCCUGGUGUAGCGGUGAAAUGCGCAGAUAUCAGGAGGAACACCAAUGGCGAAGGCAGCUCGCUGGAACGGUACUGACGCUGAGGCGCGAAAGCCAGGGGAGCGAAUGGG